Mytilus californianus (California mussel) is the source of this 1046-nucleotide long non-coding RNA. RefSeq lists it as uncharacterized. The transcript is spliced from 3 exons. NCBI's taxonomy places the organism in Eukaryota, Metazoa, Mollusca, Bivalvia, Mytilida, Mytilidae. The record is from RefSeq and is a predicted model, not a curated record.
UUUCAUAACAUGAUCUUGCGAUCUAUCUACAUGACAAUAAUAAUCGCACUGUAAAAACUAUUGUAACCAGACGACCAAAAAGUUGUGCUAUUGAAAAUUAUUGAAACGAAAUCGCAAGAUACUUGCGAUUACAACUUUUUUCAAGAAAAUGAAAUAAAAAGAUAAACUAUUCUAUUUUUUGACAUAUUAUCCAUAACAAAUGGUGUAUAAAGUUCUGCUACUCGAUAUUGAAUGACAAAAAUAAAAUCAAUCAACAAAAUAACAAGUUUGCAGUUGCAUGUUGACAUUGUUGUUGUUCUAUUGAUAUGCUAAUCAAACACCACCUCACAAAUUGUUUACCUCACAGUCAUGACGAAACAUAGAAAUAGUUCCUACUUUAAGUGUUGGCAGAAUAUGCUGUUCUGAUUGCAGAGGUAUGGGAAAUGGAAAGAAAGAGAUACAUGUACAUACAGAGACUGUUUGAAUUUAAGGUGUAAAAAUGAGCUACAUGUACCAGAAAAGAUGUUGAAAAUACCAGGUCUGGACCUUUGUGGCUGCAUGCAAUUAAUUCUGAAAUACCAGGAAACAAGAUGUAGCUGCACAGCAGACAUGGCAGAUCUUUAAAUUCCUAAUAGGCAUCAACUCAACAUUUUCAAGCUGCAUAUAAAAAGAAAAGCAUUCCUUUUCAUAGAAUCCAAGAAUUUUUUUAACCAAGUCAAGUGGUUAUUAGACCUGUUAUCAUGAAAAUACUAACAUUUAUAUUAGUAUUUACAGUCACAUGUAAUAUCCCAAAUAUAAGAACUAUUUGGUAUGUGUGACUAUCUUUCUUCUCAUGUCAUGUUACAUGUAUGCUCAGAAUAUUUUAAUGUCACAAGGAUAUGAAAUGGAUAAAUGAUAUAUUGUCAACCAUUUAAAUAAAACAGACAGGCUCACAUAUAAAUUAACUGUCUAUGUGAAAGUUCAAGUUGACUAAAAUUGUCUAGAAUUAAAAAAAGCAUAUAUCCAAAAGUACAGAAUUGCCUUUCUCAGAAAUUUUGUAUGUUUAAUAGAAUGAUACUUGUAGCUUC